Molecule: non-coding RNA, 27 nt
Filed under: Rattus norvegicus (Norway rat)
Lineage: Eukaryota; Metazoa; Chordata; Mammalia; Rodentia; Muridae
Source: RNAcentral
UUGUUGGUUCUCCCAGGCAAUGAGCGU